GCGACGACGGGUAGCCGGCCUGAGAGGGCGACCGGCCACACUGGGACUGAGACACGGCCCAGACUCCUACGGGAGGCAGCAGUGGGGAAUAUUGCACAAUGGGCGAAAGCCUGAUGCAGCGACGCCGCGUGAGGGAUGACGGCCUUCGGGUUGUAAACCUCUUUCAGCAGGGAAGAAGCGAAAGUGACGGUACCUGCAGAAGAAGCGCCGGCUAACUACGUGCCAGCAGCCGCGGUAAUACGUAGGGCGCAAGCGUUGUCCGGAAUUAUUGGGCGUAAAGAGCUCGUAGGCGGCUUGUCACGUCGGAUGUGAAAGCCCGGGGCUUAACCCCGGGUCUGCAUUCGAUACGGGCUAGCUAGAGUGUGGUAGGGGAGAUCGGAAUUCCUGGUGUAGCGGUGAAAUGCGCAGAUAUCAGGAGGAACACCGGUGGCGAAGGCGGAUCUCUGGGCCAUUACUGACGCUGAGGAGCGAAAGCGUGGGGAGCGAACAGGAUUAGAUACCCUGGUAGUCCACGCCGUAAACGUUGGGAACUAGGUGUUGGCGACAUUCCACGUCGUCGGUGCCGCAGCUAACGCAUUAAGUUCCCCGCCUG
RNAcentral lists this ribosomal RNA (592 nucleotides) under Streptomyces sp. Its description in RNAcentral is "bacterial SSU rRNA". It matches the Rfam family "Bacterial small subunit ribosomal RNA", at positions 273 to 875 of the family's 1533-position model. The record is from RNAcentral. Lineage: Bacteria; Bacillati; Actinomycetota; Actinomycetes; Kitasatosporales; Streptomycetaceae.